This 490-nucleotide ribosomal RNA is filed under the name uncultured bacterium. Its description in RNAcentral is "partial 16S ribosomal RNA". It matches the Rfam family "Bacterial small subunit ribosomal RNA", at positions 30 to 507 of the family's 1533-position model. The record is from RNAcentral.
AUUGAACGCUGGCGGCAGGCCUAACACAUGCGAGUCGAACGGUAACAGGAAGAAGCUUGCUUCUUUGCUGACGAGUGGCGGACGGGUGAGUAAUGUCUGGGAAACUGCCUGAUGGAGGGGGAUAACUACUGGAAACGGUAGCUAAUACCGCAUAACGUCGCAAGACCAAAGAGGGGGACCUUCGGGCCUCUUGCCAUCGGAUGUGCCCAGAUGGGAUUAGCUAGUAGGUGGGGUAACGGCUCACCUAGGCGACGAUCCCUAGCUGGUCUGAGAGGAUGACCAGCCACACUGGAACUGAGACACGGUCCAGACUCCUACGGGAGGCAGCAGUGGGGAAUAUUGCACAAUGGGCGCAAACCUGAUGCAGCCAUGCCGCGUGUAUGAAGAAGGCCUUCGGGUUGUAAAGUACUUUCAGCGGGGAGGAAGGGAGUAAAGUUAAUACCUUUGCUCAUUGACGUUACCCGCAGAAGAAGCACCGGCUAACUCCGUG